UAUCUCUGUAGAGUCUGCAUAUCAAUAAGCGGAGGAAAAGAAACUAACUAGGAUUCCCUCAGUAACGGCGAGUGAAGCGGGAAGAGCUCAAAUUUGAAAUCUUCAAGGUUUUACCUUGACGAAUUGUAGUUUAAAGAAGUGUUUUCUGUUGGUGUUUUGGUAAAAGUUCUUUGGAAUAGGACAUCAUAGAGGGUGAGAAUCCCGUAUUUGACCAUUACUUUCCAGCUUUGUGAUACACUUUCAAAGAGUCGGAUUGUUUGGGAAUGCAGUCCAAAAUGGGUGGUAAAUUUCAUCUAAAGCUAAAUAUUGGCGAAGAGACCGAUAGCGAACAAGUACCGUGAGGGAAAGAUGAAAAGAACUUUGAAAAGAGAGUUAAACAGUACGUGAAAUUGUCAAAAGGGAAGCGUUUGACACCAGUGUUGUUUUCUCGAAAAUCAAUUAAAAAAGGCAGGAUUUUGUGUUGUAUUGACUUUAUCAGCUUUCUGCACUCUUUUCUUGUCUUUUUUAAUGCACUUUUCGUUUAACAAGUCAACAUCAAUUUCUUUUGUUGUAAAAGGGUCAUUGGAAGGUGGCUUUCUUUUCGGAGAAAGUGUUUAUAGCCUUUGGCCUCUGCAAUCGGAGAGAUUGAGGUCUGCAGCGUAGAUCCUUCGGGGUUAGAUACAUUUGUGCUAAGUUAUAGCCUUUCAUAGACAACUUGUUGACUAUGAUCAGUCAUGUAGCUUACUCGCUUAUGCUAUUUUACCUACGCUUAGGAUGUUGACGAUCAGCUGAGCGCG
Molecule: ribosomal RNA, 776 nt
Filed under: uncultured Neocallimastigales
Lineage: Eukaryota; Fungi; Neocallimastigomycota; Neocallimastigomycetes; Neocallimastigales
Description: partial large subunit ribosomal RNA
Rfam family: Eukaryotic large subunit ribosomal RNA
Source: RNAcentral